UACAGAGGGGGCAAGCGUUAUUCGGAAUUAUUGGGCGUAAAGGGCGCGUAGGCGGCUUGGCAAGUGGAUGGUGAAAUCCCUCGGCUUAACCGAGGAACUGCCGUCCAAACUGCUUCGCUUGAGACCGGGAGAGGUGAGUGGAAUUCCCAGUGUAGCGGUGAAAUGCGUAGAUAUUGGGAGGAACACCAGUGGCGAAGGCGGCUCACUGGCCCGGUACUGACGCUGAGGCACGAAAGCGUGGGGAGCAAACAGG
Molecule: ribosomal RNA, 253 nt
Filed under: uncultured bacterium
Lineage: Bacteria
Description: partial 16S ribosomal RNA
Rfam family: Bacterial small subunit ribosomal RNA
Source: RNAcentral